CUCAUUAUGCAAGUCGAGCGGCAUCAUGAUCAUAGCUUGCUAGAUUGAUGGCGAGUGGCGAACGGGUGAGUAAUACAUCGGAACGUGCCCUGUAGUGGGGGAUAACUAGUCGAAAGAUUAGCUAAUACCGCAUACGAUCUGAGGGUGAAAGUGGGGGACCGCAAGGCCUCAUGCUAUAGGAGCGGCCGAUGUCUGAUUAGCUAGUUGGUGAGGUAAAGGCUCACCAAGGCGACGAUCAGUAGACUGGGCUGAGAGGACGAUCAGCCACACUGGGACUGAGACACGACUGAGACUCCUACGGGAGGCUGCAGUGGGGAAUUUUGGACAAUGUUCGAAAGUGUGAUCCAGCAAUGCCGCGUGUGUGAAGAAGGCCUUCGGAUUGUAAAGCACUUUUGUCCGGAAAGAAAUGGCUCUGGUUAAUACCUGGGGUCGAUGACGGAACCGGAACGAAUAAGGACCGGCUAACUACGUGCCAGCUAGCCGCGGUAAUACGUAGGGAUCCAAGCGUUAAUCGGAAUUACUGGGCGUAAAUGCGUGCGCAGGCGCGUGUGCAAGACCGAUGUGAAAUCCCCGAGCUUAACUUGGGAAUUGCAUUGGUGACUGCACGGACUAGAGUGUGUCAGAGGGGGGAUAGAAUUCCACGUGUAGCAGUGAAAUGCGGUAGAGAUGUGGAGGAAUACCGAUGGCGACGGCAGCCCCCGGGAUAUCACUGUGACGCUCAUGCACGAAAGCCGCGGGGAGCAAACAGGAUUAGAUACCCUGGUAGUCCACGCCCUACACGAUGUCAACUAUGUUGUUGGGGAUUGCAUUUCCUUACGAUCGUAGCUAACGCGUGAAGUUGACCGCCUGGGGAGUACGGUCGCAAGAUUAAAACUCAAAGGAAUUGACGGGGACCCGCACAGAGCGGUGGAUGAUGUGGAUUAAUUCGAUGCAACGCGAAAAACACUUACCUACCCUUGACAUGCCACUAACGAAGCAGAGAUGCAUUAGGUGCUCGAAAGAGAAAGUGGACACAGGUGCUGCAUGGCUG
Molecule: ribosomal RNA, 1030 nt
Filed under: Ralstonia pickettii
Lineage: Bacteria; Pseudomonadati; Pseudomonadota; Betaproteobacteria; Burkholderiales; Burkholderiaceae
Description: bacterial SSU rRNA
Rfam family: Bacterial small subunit ribosomal RNA
Source: RNAcentral